UCUGAAGGUGACUGCGGAGGACAUUA
This 26-nucleotide ribosomal RNA is filed under the name Muriphaeosphaeria sp. Its description in RNAcentral is "partial 18S ribosomal RNA". The record is from RNAcentral. Lineage: Eukaryota; Fungi; Ascomycota; Dothideomycetes; Pleosporales; Phaeosphaeriaceae.